RNAcentral lists this ribosomal RNA (437 nucleotides) under uncultured bacterium. RNAcentral's name for it is "partial 16S ribosomal RNA". It matches the Rfam family "Bacterial small subunit ribosomal RNA", at positions 29 to 507 of the family's 1533-position model. The record is from RNAcentral.
AGCGAACGCUGGCGGCAGGCUUAACACAUGCAAGUCGAGCGGGCAUCCUUGUGGUGUCAGCGGCAGACGGGUGAGUCACGCGAGGGAACGUGCCCUUCGGUUCGGAAUAACUCAGGGAAACUUGAGCUAAUACCGGAUACGUGCGAGAGCAGAAAGGUUUAUCUGCCGAAGGAUCGGACCGCGUCUGAUUAGCUAGUUGGUGUGGUUAUGGAUCACCAAGGCGACGAUCAGUAGCUGGUCUGAGAGGAUGAUCAGCCACACUGGGACUGGGACACGGCCCAGACUCCUACGGGAGGCAGCAGUGGGGAAUAUAGGACAAUGGGGGCAACCCUGAACCAGCCAUGCCGCGUGAGUGAUGACGGCCUUAGGGUUGUAAAGCUCUUUUCUCCGGGACGAUAAUGACGGUACCGGAGGAAUAAGCCCCGGCUAACUUCGUG